UGGUGAGAUGGCCGAGUUGGUUAUGGCGCCAGGUUAAGGUUAUCUUAACAUCAAUUUCCUGGUCACGAAAGUGGCGUGGGUUCGAGUCCCACUCUCAUCAA
This 101-nucleotide transfer RNA is filed under the name Periconia digitata. Its description in RNAcentral is "tRNA-Leu". It matches the Rfam family "tRNA". From Rfam's summary of the family: Transfer RNA (tRNA) molecules are approximately 80 nucleotides in length. Their secondary structure includes four short double-helical elements and three loops (D, anti-codon, and T loops). Lineage: Eukaryota; Fungi; Ascomycota; Dothideomycetes; Pleosporales; Periconiaceae. The record is from RNAcentral.